AAACAUCAGAUAUAUAGAGUGAAUUUAAUCACAGAGAUAUCUCAAUUUUGGUUUUGUGAGGAUAUAUAAGAGGUUUACUUAAUUGUCAUCCUUCUCAAGUCUCAACAAGUGUAUGUGAAAAUAAAAUAAGACAUAACAUCUAGACACGGGUUUUGCAGAAGAUACGGUUCACAAUCGAAACAUGAGACUAUCGUUGGAAACCAACGUUAUGUUCUUUUUUUCUUUUUUCUUUUUUUCUUGUUGGUCAAACCAAACCUUGGUUCCAACUCGUUAUGGUUGAUAAAGAAAAAAUCCUGUUAGCCCCAUCCACCAUCAGGAAGCUAGCGACUCAGUCCAUGAUCUACAACAUCUGGAGGCAGCGCAACUCGGCAGUUCAUCUCACUGGAUUCUCCCCGCAGCAGAUAACAUUCGCCACCAUAGACAGGGAUAUCCGUAAUGCCAUCAGUGCGAGAAGACAUAGGAGGAAAUUCUUUACUCUUAUGCAACUUUGGAUUAGAUAGUUACAACUUUCUGAUCUAACAAUCAUGUGUAUACCUUGUUUUUUAUUUCUUUUUUGCCAAGGUAUCACUUUUAGGCUUUUGUAAUCCUAAA
Brassica rapa (field mustard) is the source of this 591-nucleotide long non-coding RNA. RefSeq lists it as uncharacterized. The record is from RefSeq and is a predicted model, not a curated record. NCBI's taxonomy places the organism in Eukaryota, Viridiplantae, Streptophyta, Magnoliopsida, Brassicales, Brassicaceae.